This 527-nucleotide ribosomal RNA is filed under the name Fusarium sp. F19. RNAcentral's name for it is "eukaryotic LSU rRNA". The stretch from base 140 to 293 matches the Rfam family "5.8S ribosomal RNA". The record is from RNAcentral. Lineage: Eukaryota; Fungi; Ascomycota; Sordariomycetes; Hypocreales; Nectriaceae.
AACUCAUCAACCCUGUGAACAUACCUAAAACGUUGCUUCGGCGGGAACAGACGGCCCUGUAACAACGGGCCGCCCCCGCCAGAGGACCCCUAACUCUGUUUUUAUAAUGUUUUUCUGAGUAAACAAGCAAAUAAAUUAAAACUUUCAACAACGGAUCUCUUGGCUCUGGCAUCGAUGAAGAACGCAGCGAAAUGCGAUAAGUAAUGUGAAUUGCAGAAUUCAGUGAAUCAUCGAAUCUUUGAACGCACAUUGCGCCCGCCAGUAUUCUGGCGGGCAUGCCUGUUCGAGCGUCAUUACAACCCUCAGGCCCCCGGGCCUGGCGUUGGGGAUCGGCAGAAGCCCCCUGUGGGCACACGCCGUCCCUCAAAUACAGUGGCGGUCCCGCCGCAGCUUCCAUUGCGUAGUAGCUAACACCUCGCAACUGGAGAGCGGCGCGGCCAUGCCGUAAAACACCCAACUUCUGAAUGUUGACCUCGAAUCAGGUAGGAAUACCCGCUGAACUUAAGCAUAUCAAUAAGCCGGAGGAA